AACGAACGCUGGCGGCAUGCCUAACACAUGCAAGUCGAACGGGACCUCCCGGUCUAGUGGCGCACGGGUGCGUAAGGCGUGGGAACCAGCCCUUAGGUUCGCAAUCACUCACCGAAAGGGGACCUAAUACCGGUUAAUCUAUUCGGACAAAAGAUUUAUCGCCUUUGGGUGGGCGCGCGUUGGAUUAGCCAGUUGGUAGGGUACAAGCCUACCAUCGCGACGUUCCUUGGCUGGUCUGGUAGGAUGAUCAGCCGCACUGGGACUGAGACACGGCCCAGAAUGGUACGGAGGGGAGCAGUAGGGAGUAUUAUGCAAUGGGCCAUAGUGUGAUACAGCAAUGCGGCGUGUGUGAGGAAGGCCUUAGGGUUGUACAUCUCUUUUUCCCGAGAUGAUAAUGACAGUACCGGGAGAAUAAGCACCGGCUAACUCCGUG
This 433-nucleotide ribosomal RNA is filed under the name uncultured bacterium. Its description in RNAcentral is "partial 16S ribosomal RNA". It matches the Rfam family "Bacterial small subunit ribosomal RNA", at positions 29 to 507 of the family's 1533-position model. The record is from RNAcentral.